This 628-nucleotide ribosomal RNA is filed under the name uncultured bacterium. RNAcentral describes it as "bacterial SSU rRNA". The stretch from base 1 to 543 matches the Rfam family "Bacterial small subunit ribosomal RNA", at positions 338 to 873 of the family's 1533-position model. The record is from RNAcentral.
CCUACGGGAGGCAGCAGUGGGGAAUAUUGGACAAUGGGCGAAAGCCUGAUCCAGCCAUGCCGCGUGUGUGAAGAAGGUCUUCGGAUUGUAAAGCACUUUAAGUUGGGAGGAAGGGUUGUAGAUUAAUACUCUGCAAUUUUGACGUUACCGACAGAAUAAGCACCGGCUAGCUCUGUGCCAGCAGCCGCGGUAAUACAGAGGGUGCAAGCGUUAAUCGGAAUUACUGGGCGUAAAGCGCGCGUAGGUGGUUUGUUAAGUUGGAUGUGAAAUCCCCGGGCUCAACCUGGGAACUGCAUUCAAAACUGACUGACUAGAGUAUGGUAGAGGGUGGUGGAAUUUCCUGUGUAGCGGUGAAAUGCGUAGAUAUAGGAAGGAACACCAGUGGCGAAGGCGACCACCUGGACUAAUACUGACACUGAGGUGCGAAAGCGUGGGGAGCAAACAGGAUUAGAUACCCUGGUAGUCCACGCCGUAAACGAUGUCAACUAGCCGUUGGAAGCCUUGAGCUUUUAGGNGCGCNGCUACGACAUAAGUUAGACCGCCGUGGGAGGUACGGCCGCGAAGUAAACGUACGAAGAGAGUUAGACGGCGUGAGACGUAGACCGACGACGACGACGAGGGGAGGAGG